Molecule: non-coding RNA, 82 nt
Organism: Ciona savignyi (Pacific transparent sea squirt)
Lineage: Eukaryota; Metazoa; Chordata; Ascidiacea; Phlebobranchia; Cionidae
Source: Rfam
GUCGUCGUGGCCGAGUGGUUAAGGCGGCAUACUUGAAAUCUGUUGGGCUCUGCCCGCACAGGUUCGAAUCCUGUCGGCGACG